UGUCAUGCCAAUGGCACUGCCCGGUAGCUAAAUGCGGAAGAGAUAAGUGCUGAAAGCAUCUAAGCACGAAACUUGCCCCGAGAUGAGUUCUCCCUGACUCCUUGAGAGUCCUGAAGGAACGUUGAAGACGACGACGUUGAUAGGCCGGGUGUGUAAGCGCAGCGAUGCGUUGAGCUAACCGGUACUAAUGAACCGUGAGGCUUAACCUUACAACGCCGAAGCUGUU
RNAcentral lists this ribosomal RNA (226 nucleotides) under Escherichia coli. RNAcentral's name for it is "partial 23S ribosomal RNA". It matches the Rfam family "Bacterial large subunit ribosomal RNA", at positions 2722 to 2925 of the family's 2925-position model. Lineage: Bacteria; Pseudomonadati; Pseudomonadota; Gammaproteobacteria; Enterobacterales; Enterobacteriaceae. The record is from RNAcentral.